AAGCAUCACAUCUGGUUUUGGAGUUCUGCUAAAGGAGCAGGGGGUUAAGGGCUUUUUCAGGGGAUGGGUGCCUACCCUCCUUGGUUACAGUGCUCAGGGUGCCUGCAAGUAUGGAUUCUAUGAAUAUUUCAAGAAGUACUACUCUGACCUUGCUGGACCAGAGUUUGCUGCCAAGUACAAGACCUUGAUCUACCUUGCUGGUUCUGCAUCUGCUGAGGUCAUUGCUGAUGUUGCUCUUUGCCCCUUUGAGGCAGUCAAGGUCCGUGUGCAAACUCAGCCUGGAUUUGCUAGAGGUUUUUCAGAUGGACUUCCUAAGUUUGUCAGAUCAGAAGGUGCUCUUGG
RNAcentral lists this long non-coding RNA (342 nucleotides) under Malus domestica (apple). RNAcentral's name for it is "long non-coding RNA (MDOM_LNC007829)". The record is from RNAcentral. Lineage: Eukaryota; Viridiplantae; Streptophyta; Magnoliopsida; Rosales; Rosaceae.